GAAAUUGCUUGGGCUUGGGUGUGAGGGCUGUCAGGCUGCAAAAUCUGUCGCCAGUGUUGACUGGGCUGAUCUGGCUGGUGGGGCAGCAGUCCCUUCCUCCCUGCAGCUGCAUGUGUGUCUUUCCAAAGCUGCAUCCUAGUCUCGCAGGAAGACCACUCCACAGAAAGGAGGACUAUUUCCGGUUAAGGCUGUAUUGCCCUGCUACAGUCACCACACAAGCUCUCAAAACACUGCCUGUGAGCCCCCUGUGGUGGUGCAUGCCUGUCUGCCCAGCACUUAGGAGGCUGAGGCAGGCAGACUGCCACAAGCC
RNAcentral lists this small nuclear RNA (310 nucleotides) under Octodon degus (degu). RNAcentral describes it as "7SK RNA (ENSODEG00000023777.1)". It matches the Rfam family "7SK RNA". From Rfam's summary of the family: 7SK was discovered as an abundant small nuclear RNA in the mid-70s but a possible function has only recently been suggested. Two independent studies have found that 7SK RNA binds the CDK9/cyclin T complex (known as elongation factor P-TEFb). Lineage: Eukaryota; Metazoa; Chordata; Mammalia; Rodentia; Octodontidae. The record is from RNAcentral.